AUUGAACGCUGGCGGCAUGCCUUACACAUGCAAGUCGAACGGUAACGGGCCUUCGGGUGCCGACGAGUGGCGCACGGGUGAGUAAUACAUCGGAACGUGCCCGAUCUUGGGGGAUAACGAGGCGAAAGCUUUGCUAAUACCGCAUACGAUCUACGUAUGAAAGCAGGGGACCGCAAGGCCUUGCGCGGACGGAGCGGCCGAUGGCAGAUUAGGUAGUUGGUGGGAUAAAAGCUUACCAAGCCGACGAUCUGUAGCUGGUCUGAGAGGAUGAUCAGCCACACUGGGACUGAGACACGGCCCAGACUCCUACGGGAGGCAGCAGUGGGGAAUUUUGGACAAUGGGCGCAAGCCUGAUCCAGCCAUGCCGCGUGCAGGAUGAAGGCCUUCGGGUUGUAAACUGCUUUUGUACGGAACGAAAAGCCUUCUUUUAAUACAGGAGGGUCAUGACGGUACCGUAAGAAUAAGCACCGGCUAACUACGUG
This 482-nucleotide ribosomal RNA is filed under the name uncultured bacterium. RNAcentral's name for it is "partial 16S ribosomal RNA". It matches the Rfam family "Bacterial small subunit ribosomal RNA", at positions 30 to 507 of the family's 1533-position model. The record is from RNAcentral.